RNAcentral lists this ribosomal RNA (474 nucleotides) under uncultured bacterium. Its description in RNAcentral is "bacterial SSU rRNA". It matches the Rfam family "Bacterial small subunit ribosomal RNA", at positions 40 to 526 of the family's 1533-position model. The record is from RNAcentral.
CGGCGUGCUUAACACAUGCAAGUCGAGCGGUAAGGCUCCUUCGGGGGUACACGAGCGGCGAACGGGUGAGUAACACGUGAGUAAUCUGCCCUCAGCUUUGGGAUAAGCACUCGAAAGGGUGUCUAAUACCGGAUAUGACAGCCUUACGCAUGUAAUGGUUGUGGAAAGUUUUUUCGGCUGGGGAUGUGCUCGCGGCCUAUCAGCUUGUUGGUGGGGUAAUGGCCUACCAAGGCUUUGACGGGUAGCCGGCCUGAGAGGGUGACCGGUCACACUGGGACUGAGACACGGCCCAGACUCCUACGGGAGGCAGCAGUGGGGAAUAUUGGACAAUGGGCGGAAGCCUGAUCCAGCAACGCCGCGUGAGGGAUGACGGCCUUCGGGUUGUAAACCUCUUUCAGUAUCGACGAAGCCUUUGGGUGACGGUAGGUACAGAAGAAGCACCGGCCAACUACGUGCCAGCCGCCGCAGUAAUAC